CGAUCCCCGGCAACGGCGCCA
RNAcentral lists this small RNA (21 nucleotides) under Arabidopsis thaliana (thale cress). Its description in RNAcentral is "Ath_wt_01970". The record is from RNAcentral. Lineage: Eukaryota; Viridiplantae; Streptophyta; Magnoliopsida; Brassicales; Brassicaceae.